UGAGAGCACUUUUCAUUCCCUAAACUUCAA
RNAcentral lists this non-coding RNA (30 nucleotides) under Homo sapiens (human). Lineage: Eukaryota; Metazoa; Chordata; Mammalia; Primates; Hominidae. The record is from RNAcentral.